Molecule: long non-coding RNA, 2021 nt
Filed under: Capsicum annuum
Lineage: Eukaryota; Viridiplantae; Streptophyta; Magnoliopsida; Solanales; Solanaceae
Description: long non-coding RNA (CANN_LNC002135)
Source: RNAcentral
CCAGUUUCGCUGAAGAAAGUGUUGAACGCGUCAUCACCUCCUCCGACAGUCUUGUCACUUGGCAUCUGGCCAUCAGGCUUUGGAAAACAGAAGACAGAAUUUUAGCAAAAUCAUAAUUACGUUUAAACAGCAGGAAAAAGUUUCAUGUCUGCUCCAUAGGACAACAAACCAAUCUAGUUUGCAAAGACAACCAGUUGGAAAAGUGCCAAGGCAGGGACAUCAAACUUGAAAGUAACCAAGUAUCAAAACAAGUUAGUCUCAAGGAACACUAUUGAAGCAUCAUAUAUAAAAUCAAACAUAAGUGGUUCCAAAUCAAAUGUAAUACAAAUAUUCAUCUAUUUAAUAAAGAAUCAAGUACAUGCAAAAUAUACUUAUCUAUAUAAUUUUUUUGAGGAUGUAUACUUAUUUCUACAUCAACUCCUAAAAGACACGUUCAUCUCAUAAAUUAUACAAUCAGAUGUACCUAUUAAAUCAGUUCCACUUUCGAAUCAAACCUACUAUGGAUCCAACGAGCAAAUAUUCCAUCAGAUCUACUGGAAAACCCCACAUUUCUACAACAGAGUGUCUCUGAUCCUAUAUAUAAAUUACUCAAUCAUAUCUACAGGAUGUUGUUUUUCCAUGUCCGAAAUCAAUCGGACAGUUAUCAAACAUACAUCUAGAAUAUUCUAGCCGAUCUAGAACAGAACAGUUAUCACAUUUCUACACCAGAGCAGUUAUCUCGUGUCCAGAUCUACAGAUUUUUUCACAUUUGGAAUUAAUAGGACAAUUUUCAAACUUCAACAACAACAACAACAACAACAACAAUAUACCCAGUGUAUUCCCACAUGCAAUUAUCAAACUUAAAUCUAAAUUAUGAUACCAGAUCUACUUUAAACAACUCACAUUACCAGUCAAUAAGACAAAUUCUAUAUCAAUCAGAUCUAUUGAAAAACAAAUCACCUAAAAAGAAAUUAUUCGACCAGAUCUGCAAAAUAUUUCACAUUUUCAACCAUUUACGAAGCAAAACAUACAGAUAAUGCGAUUUGAAUCAAAACAUAUGUAGCCUAAUUCAACCAGAUUUAGACUGCAAGAUAUUUCACAUUUUCUACAAUUAAAAUGAAGCAAAACACACAAAUCAACAGAAAAUAUGAUUAAGAUAAUUAAAAAAAAAAACGAAAGAAACUCGCAAAUAAAAAACAGAAAAUGUGAUUCAGAUAAAAAAAAAAAAAAAAAAAAAAACCCCCCUUUCCCAAAAAAAAAUUAAAAAAUUAAAAUUAUACAAUUAGAUCUACGAAACAUUUCAGGUUUUCAACAAUUAAAAUGAAGCAAAAAAAAAAAAGCACAAAUCAAACACAUAGAAGGUAACUAAAGUGAAAAAAAAAAUAAGAUUAAGGAAAUCAAAAGAAAAAAUCAAACAGAUCAACAAAUUUCUUCACAUUUUCAACGAUAUAAACGACGCAAAACACACAAAUCAAACACAUAAAACGUGAUUAUGAUUCAAAAAGAAACAUAUUCAAGCAGAUCUACAAAUUACUUCACAUUUUCAACAAUUUAACAGAAGCAAAAACACAAAAUCUGACUAAUCUUUUAGAAAAAAUACCUGAAUGCCGUGCUCGAGACAGUAAAGUUCCCAACAAGCAUUUCCAACCUGAAUACCAGCCUGACCAAUGUGAAUAGAAAUGCAUUCUCUCAUUUUCGCUACAGCAAAAACUUCGAAACCCUAAAAUUUAGUUGAAGGAAGAAGAGAAUAACGGCGUUUAUCAAGACGCCGUUUCAAAAAGAGAAAAAGGAAUUGAGAGUUUCGAAAAUUUUUGAAUUGUGAGAUUCGUAAAAUGUGAGGGGGGCGUCUCUUUUUUAUAGGAAAAAAAUGAAAAAUGAAUGAGAGGAGGGCAAAAUGGGUAUCGGGUUAGUUAUUAACUAUGGUUAAUAUUGUUUCCGAUAAUUUCGAGGUUAAUAUUUACCGUAGAUUAGGUUGGGCUAUGUUUAUAGUACAGCCCGCCCCGCUCUAUUUUGAAUUAUUUUGAAUUGUUGUGGAAAAGGAG